UACAGAGGGUGCAAGCGUUAAUCGGAAUGAUUGGGCGUAAAGCGCGCGUAGGCGGUUAGAUAAGUUGGAUGUGAAAGGCUUGGGCUUAACCUAAGGACGGCAUCCAAAACUGACUAACUAGAGUUCAGUAGAGGGAAGUGGAAUUUCCAGUGUAGCGGUGAAAUGCGUAGAUAUUGGAAGGAACACCAGUAGCGAAGGCGACUUCCUGGGCUGAAACUGACGCUGAGGCGCGAAAGCAUGGGGAGCAAACAGGAUUAGAUACCCCCGUA
RNAcentral lists this ribosomal RNA (269 nucleotides) under uncultured prokaryote. RNAcentral describes it as "partial 16S ribosomal RNA". It matches the Rfam family "Bacterial small subunit ribosomal RNA", at positions 524 to 792 of the family's 1533-position model. The record is from RNAcentral.